CCUACGGGAGGCAGCAGUGAGGAAUAUUGGUCAAUGCGCGCGAGCCUGAACCAGCCAAGUAGCGUGAAGGAUGACUGCCCUACGGGUUGUAAACUUCUUUUAUAAAGGAAUAAAGUGAGGCAAGUGUGCCUUUUUGUAUGUACUUUAUGAAUAAGGAUAGGCUCACUCCGUUCCAGCAGCCGCGGUAAUACGGAGGAUCCGAGCGUUAUCCGGAUGUAUUGGGUUUAAAGGGAGCGUAGAUGGGUUGUUAAGUCAGUUGUGAAAGUUUGCGGCUCAACCGUAAAAUUGCAAUUGAUACUGGCAGUCUUGAGUACAGUUGAGGUAGGCGGAAUUCGUGGUGUAGCGGUGAAAUGCGUAGAUAUCACGAAGAACUCCGAUUGCGAAGGCAGCUUACUAACCUGCCACUGACAUUGAUGUCCGAAAGUGUGGGUAUCAAACAGGAUUAGAUACCCGGGUAGUC
Molecule: ribosomal RNA, 460 nt
Filed under: uncultured bacterium
Lineage: Bacteria
Description: partial 16S ribosomal RNA
Rfam family: Bacterial small subunit ribosomal RNA
Source: RNAcentral